Molecule: ribosomal RNA, 253 nt
Filed under: uncultured bacterium
Lineage: Bacteria
Description: partial 16S ribosomal RNA
Rfam family: Bacterial small subunit ribosomal RNA
Source: RNAcentral
UACGUAGGGUGCAAGCGUUAAUCGGAAUUACUGGGCGUAAAGCGUGCGCAGGCGGUUAAGUAAGACAGUUGUGAAAUCCCCGGGCUCAACCUGGGAACUGCAUCUGUGACUGCAUAGCUAGAGUACGGUAGAGGGGGAUGGAAUUCCGCGUGUAGCAGUGAAAUGCGUAGAUAUGCGGAGGAACACCGAUGGCGAAGGCAAUCCCCUGGACCUGUACUGACGCUCAUGCACGAAAGCGUGGGGAGCAAACAGG